GAAAUGCGAUAAGUAAUGUGAAUUGCAGAAUUCAGUGAAUCAUCGAGUCUUUGAACGCACAUUGCGCCCCCUGGUAUUCCGGGGGGCAUGCCUGUCCGAGCGUCAUUGCUGCCCUCAAGCACGGCUUGUGUGUUGGGCCCCCGCCCCCCGGUCCCGGGGGGCGGGCCCGAAAGGCAGCGGCGGCACCGCGUCCGGUCCUCGAGCGUAUGGGGCUUCGUCACCCGCUCUUGUAGGCCCGGCCGGCGCCCGCCGGCGACCCCCAUCAAUCUUUCCAGGUUGACCUCGGAUCAGGUAGGAGUUACCCGCUGAACUUAA
This 315-nucleotide unclassified non-coding RNA is filed under the name uncultured Penicillium. RNAcentral's name for it is "sequence contains ITS1". The stretch from base 1 to 105 matches the Rfam family "5.8S ribosomal RNA", at positions 50 to 154 of the family's 154-position model. Lineage: Eukaryota; Fungi; Ascomycota; Eurotiomycetes; Eurotiales; Aspergillaceae. The record is from RNAcentral.